Molecule: ribosomal RNA, 19 nt
Filed under: Melanoleuca robertiana
Lineage: Eukaryota; Fungi; Basidiomycota; Agaricomycetes; Agaricales; Pluteaceae
Description: partial 28S ribosomal RNA
Source: RNAcentral
UUGACCUCAAAUCAGUAGG